This 1217-nucleotide long non-coding RNA is filed under the name Sus scrofa (pig). RNAcentral describes it as "lncRNA (ENSSSCG00035006121.1)". Lineage: Eukaryota; Metazoa; Chordata; Mammalia; Artiodactyla; Suidae. The record is from RNAcentral.
UCAUAGAGCAAGCUACAAUCAGAGCUUUUUAAUAUAAUCAAUGUCCCCCAAAUUCCUUUUUCUUUAGAUUAAAACACAGAGAAGGAAGAAUACUCAAGCCAGGGAGAAAAAUUCAGAUGAAAGACGAUGCAGUUAUGUUAGGCAGCACUACAUGAUAUUUCAAGUCCUUUUAUUGCCCUGGGUGCAAAUAUUGGAGCUUGUGGGAGAAAGAAAACUUACUCAACUGGAUUUAUAAAAGGAGAAAAAGAAAAGAUAUUCCUUGGCUACCACCAACAGAAAUUCCCUAGGUAGAUGAGUCAACUCAAUAUUUAAAGAAUUCCAUGUGCACUAGAGAAGCAAAAAGAAACGCAGCAAACCCACAUGUGGAGGCCAGGCAAAGGGGCUUGGGGGGGUAGUGCCUGCCAGAGGGGGGUCACCUCAGGAGUCUUCCCGGAAGCUGUAACUCAGGAAAUAUGGUUGGACAAAUUAUUAGUGUUGGCCUCAUCUUAUCCAUGAGAGCUCAGAAAUUCCCGCCCCGCUUGUCCGUGGCAGGCAUACACACCUCCGAGAUGAUUCUCAUUUCAUCCCCUCCCUCCUUUCACUGAGAGUCCCCUCAGCUCUAGUCUGAGAGGAGGCAGCCUCAGAACCGGGGGAUUUCCCAACCCCUUCCAGGCCUCUUCAAACAAAGUCUUCAACUGGCAACAGAGGUGUCAUCAUAGGGGAAGUUUCUGAUUGGCCAAAACCUGACCUGGCAGCUGGGCUUUGGGUGUCUUUAGAGUUCUUUCUCAGCUCCAUCCUCAUCAUUGCUCUACAACUCCGAAGAGCAACAGCUGAGACCACCUUGAGAAGAGCAUGGUCCCAGGCCGAGUUCUGAUGUGGGGGGCCCUCGCCCUGACCGCCGUGAUGAGCGCCUGUGGAGGUGAAGACAUUGCGGAGUUCGCCAAGGAUAUUAUUGUACUUCUGAUACUGGAGCCUGCGACGAUGUCCUGAGGGGGUUCUAGGGCAUUCAUCCAUGACCGCUCCAAAGAUUAGAAGUGUCUCCCAAGUCAAUGUGAUGUUGCCAAAACUUCAUGAACCAUUGCUCUCAAAUUUCUCUGAACAACUUUUGAAGCUUUUUAUAUAUUUUUUCUGCAGUUUUUCUUGAGGGAAAUAGUUCCAUGAAUUAUGUAUACUAUGUAGAUAUAAAGAAGGGUGUCCUUUUCUCAGUCUCAGCUGUUUCUUUGUUUGUUUGUUUGUCU